Drosophila miranda is the source of this 1500-nucleotide long non-coding RNA. RefSeq lists it as uncharacterized. The transcript has 3 exons. The record is from RefSeq and is a predicted model, not a curated record. NCBI's taxonomy places the organism in Eukaryota, Metazoa, Arthropoda, Insecta, Diptera, Drosophilidae.
GUCGCGACUUCGUUCGUCGGACACCAAUUUUCGCUUUAAUUUUUCGGCUUUCGGGCUUCGGAUAUUUUGUACAACCAGUAACAAUUCUUAUCAACAACGGAACCAAAAACACAACACAAUAAAGUACUAGUCUUUCGAAAGUGCAUUUUCAGUUGACGACACAACGGAAGGCUUUGAUGGCUUUGAUGAAUGCUAGUGCUGAGCAAAAUAGCUUUGACCGUUAACACUUUCCGGCUAGCAAAAAACAUUGGGAGGGCAAAUAUUGGUUGUAAUUUGUGCAAAUGUUGGGUUAAUGUAUUCUGCAAUUAAGUACAUUUUGAGUUUUAGAGGUUUUGACGAUCAUUCGCAAAAAAGUUAUUUGUUUCGUGAAUUGAACUAACAUCAGUUGUUUUACCAUUUUUUAUCAGGAGCGAAUUAUAAUUACAGGCGAGCGUACAUAAAGUUUGUUGUAUUCAAAUUCUUGUUACUUUUUGUAUAUAUUUUUGUUGUUUUUCAUUAUUUCGAAUUUGUAAUUCAUACUGUACAUAAUUCAUACAGAAAUAAAUCUUUAUCGCAUGUGUCUUAUAUUCCAGACAAUAGUCAGAACACUAACUUUAACUUGCCAAGUAUUUCUGUAUGAAAAGCGUUUCACCAAACCAAAACAAUAUUUUUGAGUGAAGUAAGGAAUACUCGUAUUUCAUAUACUAGUACUAUAUUUUAUAACAUUGUUUAAUAAACUCACUGUGUAGGAGCACAAUGAAUACAAAUUUUGACACUAAGUAUAAAAUCAAUAUUAGCGUCGUCGCUGCUUGUCUGGACAGUACUUUCUAGCAGAAUGAAUUCGUGUAAGGGCGGUCGGCGUCGCCACCGUACGACCCUAAGUAGGCCGACUUAAUAUUGAAAGAUUGAUUGGUGAGCAUGACCAGUUUAUGUUUUCAGAGCUUCUCCUAUCAUUCGAUUUAUUUUUAAAAAUGUUUAAACAAAAAUGCUUUAAAAGCUUCCACUUAACAUUAAAUGCACCCACCGCCGUAUUUUUGUUGCAAAUGACAAUGUUGCGCCACCUAGUGUCUUUUUUAACGAUAUUUGUAUCGAUAUAUAUGCCGGUUAAUGCCGUUCAUUCGGUGAACACGUCGCAAACGAACUUUCUGGCGCAGAAAUAAUUGUAUAUCUUCCAUGAUUAUGGACAUUAAUGAUAUAUCUUUAUUCCUCCUGAGAGCAUAUUUCAUAAUAUAUAUAUCCCCUGAUAAGCAAGUCGAGACUUUAACUUCCACUUUUCCGUGGAUUGUAUUACCUCCAGUUCUAUUGGCCGAGAGCCUCUCUGGCCACAAACUGCGAUGCCGCGAUCCCCUCCUCUUACCCCGCCAGCAGCUCGGCCGCUCCAGUGGUAAGAUAUACCUGGAGUUCCGGUUAAGUCGAGGAAGUUUGCGCUCGAUGAAGGCUGUCCACUUUAGGCGAUCGGCCACGAUUCAGUACGCCCCUCGGGUCAUGAUUCUUGUCGCGCAAGCCUGAGACCUUUAGUCU